AGGACGACGCUGGCGGCGUGCCUAACACAUGCAAGUCGAGCGGGGUUGAAGCGAGGGGUAACUCGGACUUCUACCUAGCGGCGGACGGGUGAGUAACGCGUGGGCAACCUGCCUCAAGGUUUGGGAUAACAGCUCGAAAGGGCUGCUAAUACCGGAUAUGCCUGUGGCCUCGCAUGGGGCUAUGAGCAAAGGGGAAACCCGCCUUGAGAUGGGCCCGCGUCCCAUCAGCUAGUUGGUGAGGUGAAGGCUCACCAAGGCGACGACGGGUAGCCGGCCUGAGAGGGUGACCGGCCACACUGGGACUGAGACACGGCCCAGACUCCUACGGGGGGCAGCAGUGGGGGAUCUUGCACAAUGGGCGAAAGCCUGAUGCAGCGACGCCGCGUGAGCGAAGAAGGCCUUCGGGUUGUAAAGCUCUGUCUGGAGGGACGAAACAAAUGACGGUACCUCCGGAGGAAGCCACGGCUAACUACGUG
This 476-nucleotide ribosomal RNA is filed under the name uncultured bacterium. Its description in RNAcentral is "bacterial SSU rRNA". It matches the Rfam family "Bacterial small subunit ribosomal RNA", at positions 33 to 507 of the family's 1533-position model. The record is from RNAcentral.